RNAcentral lists this transfer RNA (73 nucleotides) under Desulfurellaceae bacterium. RNAcentral describes it as "tRNA-Ala". It matches the Rfam family "tRNA". From Rfam's summary of the family: Transfer RNA (tRNA) molecules are approximately 80 nucleotides in length. The record is from RNAcentral. RNAcentral also lists the same sequence under 1 other name. Lineage: Bacteria; Pseudomonadati; Campylobacterota; Desulfurellia; Desulfurellales; Desulfurellaceae.
GGGGCCGUAGCUCAGUUGGGAGAGCGCUUGAAUGGCAUUCAAGAGGUCGUGAGUUCAAUUCUCAUCGGCUCCA